Molecule: ribosomal RNA, 468 nt
Filed under: uncultured bacterium
Lineage: Bacteria
Description: bacterial SSU rRNA
Rfam family: Bacterial small subunit ribosomal RNA
Source: RNAcentral
CCAGACUCCUACGGGAGGCAGCAGUGAGGAAUAUUGGUCAAUGGGCGCGAGCCUGAACCAGCCAAGUCGCGUGAGGGAUGAAGGAUCUAUGGUUCGUAAACCUCUUUUAUAAGGGAAUAAAGUGCGGGACGCGUCCCGCUUCGCAUGUACCUUAUGAAUAAGGAUCGGCUAACUCCGUGCCAGCAGCCGCGGUAAUACGGAGGAUCCGAGCGUUAUCCGGAGUGACUGGGUGUAAAGAGUUGCGUAGGUGGCAUAGUAAGUAGCUAGUGAAAUCUGGUGGCUCAACCAUUCAGACUAUUAGCUAAACUGCUAAGCUCGAGACCGUUAGGGGUAACUGGAAUUUCUAGUGUAGGAGUGAAAUCCGUAGAUAUUAGAAGGAACACCGAUAGCGUAGGCAGGUUACUGGGACGGUUCUGACACUAAGGCACGAAAGCGUAGGGAGCAAACGGGAUUAGAUACCCGAGUACG